Non-coding RNA from Bos taurus (domestic cattle), 56 nucleotides. The record is from Rfam. NCBI's taxonomy places the organism in Eukaryota, Metazoa, Chordata, Mammalia, Artiodactyla, Bovidae.
UAGCUCAGAGGUUAAAGCGUCUGCCUGCAAUGCAGGAGACCUGGGUUCGAUCCCUG